RNAcentral lists this long non-coding RNA (3778 nucleotides) under Capsicum annuum. RNAcentral's name for it is "long non-coding RNA (CANN_LNC008841)". The record is from RNAcentral. Lineage: Eukaryota; Viridiplantae; Streptophyta; Magnoliopsida; Solanales; Solanaceae.
UGCUAAAUUGGUGAAUCAAGAAAAGGCGAAAACUCUUUUGUUCAAGUCCAAAUCUUUGUGUGCUUCAGUUUAAUUGUUCUUGAGUCAAGUCUUGCUUUAUAAUUGAAUUACUCAUCUUAUAAGAGUAAUGUCUUUCUCUAGGCAAUAUAGUGCUUAGGUAGAGUUACCUGAGGUCAAAUCGAUUAGAGCCAGUUGAUUGGGAUGUUGUUGAGUUGAGUAAAGGUGGUUGUAGUAGAGCUAUUGCAACCAACGGAACUUAGAGUUAAGUUCUUGGAGUUUGUAACUAAUGAAUUCUGAUUAUAGUGAAGUUUGAGUUCUUGUGAAGGCAAGUCGUGGUUUUUCCUCCCUUGAGCAAGGAGGUUGUCACAUAAAUUGCUGUGUUCUUUUAACUCCUGUCAGUUUUAGUUCGUUACUAUUUUAUUAUAGUCUCAGGGACUAGGUCCCUAGAAUGGUGGUGUGUGGCAGAGAAAUGACUUUUGGUGAUUUUUCACAAGUUAAAAUACUUUUAAAAAAGUUUUUAAACUCAUGGGUAGGGUCGCCACUUAAUUUAUUUAGAAAAAUCAAGAAAACCUUUAUAAAUUACUUAAAUGAUUCAAAAUAGAAAAAUCAUUUAAGUUUGAAAAUUCUGUGUAAGUGGUUCUUAUUAAUACUUUUGGAAGGUUGUUAAGACACCAAAAGUAUCUUCUAACUUGCGAUUACCCGAACUAUUUGAAAACGAUUCUUUGACUAACUUUGAAAAAAUAAGUUGAUUUUUGAAAAGAAUCGAUUAAGAAAACAUGUUUGAAGUUUAUGCAAAAUCAUAUUUUGACGAUGUAGGAGGAAAUUUAACUAGUUCUAAUAAAGUUAAAAUCAAAUAGCACAUAAAAGGAGAAAUGAGAGAAUUAGGAGACUUAGGCUUGUAAGCCCAAAUCUAUCAACUUUGUCCUAAUCUAAUUGGGUUUUUGGUCUUCCUGUAUCUAUCCUAAACUAUUCAUUUGGGCUUUUGACCGAUCAUCACCUGUUCUAAUCUAGAUAUUGGGCUUUUAACCCAUAACCUGUCCUAAACUAUCUUUCUGGACUUUUGAGAGCCAAAAUUUGCUUCAACUGUAUCAAAAUACAACUUUGACUUCGAGGCCUAAAUGAAUGAAUGAAUAAAUAAAUAAAUAAAACAAAGCAAUAAUAAAGUUGAGACUUUUUUAAGUCUCUUAGCGACUUCAUCAAAUGGGUUUUGACCCAUUUUCUUGUUCUUCCAUCUUCUUACAUUUGUAUGUCAUAUUUAAUCCUGUUGAACCAGCUUUCAAUGUCUCCUAAAAGGUGGGCCUCAAUGGCCCAUUGCGUAACGCAAGGGGAAAAAGUCCAUUUAGACUCCCACGCAGGUUCAUGCAAAGAAAAGGAUGAAGGAAUUAAUAUGCGUCCAAGAAUUUAAUAAUUAAUAAACUAUGGGAUUCAUACCUCAUUUAAAUAUACUUGCACAUAGGUAAAAUAUAGAAGGAACAAAAGUCUAUAAAAUUUGAAGAAAGACUCAUAAUUAAUCAAAGACAUUCCAAUUACAAGAAGGAAUAACGCCCAAAACAUGGUGUCCUUAUGAUUCUUAGCAAAUAAAGCAAACAGUUUAUCAUUUUACUGCUACGAAAGGACCCAACAAACAUGUUACGAAAGGAUUUUGUGAAGCAAUAAUAAAGGAGUAGAUCAACCAAAGAAAAUACGAGGAAUAGGCUAGGAAAGGAACGAUAAACCCAAACACAAGUGCAAUACCAAGGGCAAAAUUCAACAUUUGAGGGAUUACUAUUUCUCAAACAGAAUUCGAGUCCUAGUUCCUUACAAAACUAAGAAAAAAGAAUACAAGAUCAUGAAUUUAUUUAAUUUACAUACAGUGAUUAAUGUUUAAGGGGAGAAAGAAUUAUAAUGCCAACAAGUAGAUUUCAUAUGACACAUGACUAAUAAGGUGAUCUCUUUUCAAAGAAACCAUAACAUUCUAAAGGAAAUAUUUUCCCUCCAUUUGUUAUGCGCAUGGGAAUAAGUUAUUAUUAUAACUUGAAAGCAUCAAAUAAUUUAGCUCAAUGUCUAAACUUGGAAGGACAUACAUGCAGCAAACAUAGACAUAGACUACUGGGAAAUUUCAAGCAUAACCACUUUCAUAUCUCAAACAUUAACAACCAAGACCAUAGAAAAUUCAAUUUAGAUACGUCAACAUGUCAUUUAUUUAACUCAUCAGCUGAAUAUGAAUCCAGAAGCUAGGUAACUUAAAUCUUUAUGUUCAAUUUCUUUUAAGAGAUAAGUCUAAGUAAAGGAUUAUCUAUACAAAGAAAAAGCAAGGUCCAGGCAGCACAUGCAUACAUAAGCAAAGAAGUAUCAUAUCAAAAGGAUUUCAUGCUUCACACUGAAAUCCCAUGAAACUAUCACAGAACAAGGUCUGAUAAUUAAGUUCAACUAAGUUAAGAUAGUAAGUCCGCAACUUAAAAUACAAGGGUGAAAAGAUUGAAAGAAAAAAACACAGAGAAUUGCAGGCCAAAUGACAACUAGUGUCUAAAUUUUCACUAUUUGCAAACUCAAAUUUACCCAAAAAAAAACUUGUUGAAUUACAAAUGUUAGCUAGCAGUUUUGAACCAAAAAAACGUAUAGCCUUCUAGGGAUGGAAACAAUUAUGUUGCAGGUGAUUCUAAAUCAAAACAGUGCACUUAUAUCUAUUCUUAGCAAGGAGGAUAAUUAAUUAGGAAUCAUGGGGUAGUUUUGACAUGACCAAAUGAGAAUCUCCAUACCAAAAAGUUCAUAGAAAAAUAGAAGGAAAGCAUUCUGUUGUAACAAAAGACGCAACUCACUUUCCAACAAAAAAAGCUUAUUACAAAAGUAAGAUCGAUAUCUGUAAACAAGAAGAUGGUUAUUUCUCGUGCAUUGGCAUUCUCCAGAAAGAAAACCAUCAAAAUCCAUAUUUUAGUAUUUCAACUACUAGUUCUUAUACAACAGGGAAAAUGCUACACUUAUCAAUUCCAUUAAACUGAGAACACUCUACAGAGGAAUUGCCUCAUGUGCAUUAUUGGCCUAUUUGAAGCUAAAAAGCUAUCAACCAAACAAAAAGACUAAAGAAAAUUAUGGCAUAGACCCAACAAGCAUCAAUUCAAACAAAGAAAAGCAGUGAAUUCAAGCAUAACAUUAUGAUACAGAUCACACAAAAAUCCUAUGGCCUUCAAGGCCUUUACGACAAACAAUCCCAUCAUACAUACUAUCCAAAACACUACUAUGACUACAGAACGACAAGAUGGAGAAGAAAUAAAAUCAAAACUAAAUAGAAUGAGGUAUUACCUAUUUCGAAUUAGAAAAAUGGGACUCAAACUAUCAUCGAAAUAUGGACCAUCACCGAAAAGCUUCGCCGUGACUCUAAGAACUUUGAGUAUUCGUCGAUUUUUAAUGAAAAAAUAUAUUUACUAGAAAAACGAGACUUUUUUAUUGAAAGCUUUUUCAACCUUCAAGACUUGUUCAAUUUUUCUCUAAAGAGGGCUUUAUAUAGAAAGGAUUUGAGGGUCUACUUUGAAUUCCCAGCCGAUGUGGGAUAUGCGAAUCAAGGAGCAAAUUUGGUAUUAUUUAAGAGAGUUUUGAAUUUGAGAUAAGAGGAUAAAAGGGAUGAGCUGGAUUUUGUACUAAUUAGUACAAAAAUUUGAAUUUUAAAUUUUAAAUUGACAAUCGGAUAAGGUUUAGCUAUUGGAAAUCAUGGUUAUUGAAGUUGUUCGGGUCGGAGUCGGGUUGUACGCUAGCUGCCACUGGAUUGGGUCACGGGUUGCGGGUGAAAGUUGAAAGGUUUAGC